GGUGGUGUAGUUUAACGGUUAGAACAUCAGGUUUUCAACCUGAAGAAAGGAGUUCGAUUCUCCUCUCCACUGC
This 73-nucleotide transfer RNA is filed under the name Endomicrobiia bacterium. RNAcentral's name for it is "tRNA-Glu". It matches the Rfam family "tRNA". From Rfam's summary of the family: Transfer RNA (tRNA) molecules are approximately 80 nucleotides in length. Their secondary structure includes four short double-helical elements and three loops (D, anti-codon, and T loops). The record is from RNAcentral. Lineage: Bacteria; Pseudomonadati; Elusimicrobiota; Endomicrobiia.